UAAGUGGGAAACGAUGUGGGAAGGCACAGACAGCCAGGAUGUUGGCUUAGAAGCAGCCAUCAUUUAAAGAAAGCGUAAUAGCUCACUGGUCGAGUCGGCCUGCGCGGAAGAUGUAACGGGGCUAAACCAUGCACCGAAGCUGCGGCAGCGACACUAUGUGUUGUUGGGUAGGGGAGCGUUCUGUAAGCCUGCGAAGGUGACCUGUGAGGGUUGCUGGAGGUAUCAGAAGUGCGAAUGCUGACAUAAGUAACGAUAAAGCGGGUGAAAAGCCCGCUCGCCGGAAGACCAAGGGUUCCUGUCCAACGUUAAUCGGGGCAGGGUGAGUCGACCCCUAAGGCGAGGCCGAAAGGCGUA
This 354-nucleotide ribosomal RNA is filed under the name Klebsiella quasipneumoniae subsp. quasipneumoniae. RNAcentral's name for it is "partial 23S ribosomal RNA". It matches the Rfam family "Bacterial large subunit ribosomal RNA", at positions 1060 to 1413 of the family's 2925-position model. The record is from RNAcentral. Lineage: Bacteria; Pseudomonadati; Pseudomonadota; Gammaproteobacteria; Enterobacterales; Enterobacteriaceae.